This 253-nucleotide ribosomal RNA is filed under the name uncultured microorganism. RNAcentral's name for it is "partial 16S ribosomal RNA". It matches the Rfam family "Bacterial small subunit ribosomal RNA", at positions 524 to 776 of the family's 1533-position model. The record is from RNAcentral.
UACGUAGGGUGCGAGCGUUAAUCGGAUUUACUGGGCGUAAAGCGUGCGCAGGCGGCCCGUUAAGACAGGUGUGAAAUCCCUGGGCUCAACCUAGGAAUUGCGCUUGUGACUGGCGGGCUCGAGUACGGUAGAGGGGGGUGGAAUUCCUGGUGUAGCAGUGAAAUGCGUAGAUAUCGGGAGGAAGGCCGGUGGCGAAGGCGGCCCUCUGGGCCUGUACUGACACUGAGGCUCGAAAGCGUGGGGAGCGAACAGG